UACAGCAGGUUAUCAUCACACAGCACCAGUGAGUUUAAGAAUUGAGGCUCCUAAGUUGGCAGCCCAGGGGUCAAACCCCAUCUCUGCCACUAACCUCUGCUCUUAACCUCCUGUGGCCUCUGUUUCUCCAUCUGUAAGAGAAGAGAAACAGCACCUCCCUUCUGGUAGAAAUGUGAAGACUGAGCGAGUUCAUGGAAGCCAGUGGCUAGCACAGAGUGGUGAGGUCAGUGUCCUGGAGGAACCAGUGUCAUUGUUUACCACUUGGACCCACCAUGUGUUCCAAUCCCCAGGCUGCCCCAGCUCUGAGAUCCUGAGACACACAAGCGCAGUUCUGACCGAGGAUAAGAAGUUUGGUGAUCCAGCCUGGGGAGACAGGCUUGCUGGGGGAGUACCAUUAGCCCUGUGAGGUUCUGGGAAAUUCGGGCACUUCAUGGGAUGCUCAUCGACAGACUCCUGCAGCUCGGGCUGUGGGCAGAAUGGGGCCUUCGGACAGGUGGAGAUCCCCAUGGUUUGCUAAGAGGACUCCCACUUGGAUGGUAUUCUUGGCUGCCCUGCUCUUUGUCUCACAAAGUCUCUUGCCACCACCUCCUGGUCCUGCAUCCCAGUGCGGAAUGUGAGUCUCUACACCGUCUUUAAUAAAGAGCCACAAACCAA
Long non-coding RNA from Acinonyx jubatus (cheetah), 654 nucleotides. RefSeq lists it as uncharacterized. The transcript is spliced from 2 exons. Lineage: Eukaryota; Metazoa; Chordata; Mammalia; Carnivora; Felidae. The record is from RefSeq and is a predicted model, not a curated record.